AUAAUUGUAUAAAUUAAUUUAAUUAAAAUUAAAAUUUAUUAUGUUUUUGUUUGGUUGUAUAAUUUUAUUUAUGAACAAUUUAAAUAGAAUAAUUUAAUUUGUGGAUAAAAAUCCAACUUGUGGAUUUGAAAUGAUAAAUCAUAGCUGACACAUCGUUCCUGUUGACAUGAUUAAUUAAUUUGAAAAGAAGAUUAGGUUUAAGACAUAAAUUCUCAAAGUCUGAAUAUCGUUUUAAUUAAGGUAAUAUUUGUUAAUGGUCAACUUGUAAUGAUAAUUAACAAGUAUUUGAUUUGAUGUUUUGGAGCUUGG
Molecule: long non-coding RNA, 309 nt
Filed under: Durio zibethinus
Lineage: Eukaryota; Viridiplantae; Streptophyta; Magnoliopsida; Malvales; Malvaceae
Description: long non-coding RNA (DZIB_LNC000971)
Source: RNAcentral